UGUUCCAGAACUAGGUAGAGAUGGUUGCACAAUAUGCACAAGAUGAAUGCACUAAAUGCCACCGAAUUGUUUACUGUAAAGGGGUGAAUUGCAUGGUAAGUGAAUAUAUCUUUUAAAAAAAGAGAAGGGACAGGCGAGGGCGCAGAAGUGGGGCAGGCGUGCCCGUGUCAUGCCCUGCAGUGCACUGGCUCAGGGGCGGGGGCAGAGGCAGAGAAAACAGCUCUUUCUGACCAAACCCAGAGGCUGCUGGACAGACAGAGGGGGAAGGUAUCCGGGGAGGUAAACUGAGGCAGCCUGCCUCCCGGAUGGAGACAUGCUUCCAACUUCUUGGUGGGAGCUGUGGUGAAGAGGAGUCAGACCAGGAAAGCUAGAGAUGGGGGUGCGGGACGGGGGCGGCGAGGGCUCUGGAGAGGCCGCCAGACUGGGAACCUACUGCCCCCUGGGCUGCGGCACCCGCGCAGGCUGAGCCGCAGCAGGAAGCAUCUGUGAACAGCUCACGCCAGGCCUGGCUCUCCGGCUCUAUGACAGCGCCCCCUGCAGCGGGAGAACAGACCCAUAGGCCCCCAGCCCCCGUGGGCUUGACUCCAUCCCCCGUCACCCACUCCGCAGCAACCGCACCUGCCUCUCUUCACAGUCUUGGCCCGAGCACCACCUCUUCCAGGAAGCCCUCCCUCACCCACUGUUCUUCACGCUUUCACUUGUCACUCUCCCAGGUUUAUCUGUGGGAUGGUUGGAUUAGUGUCUGCCUUCCCCACCCGACCAGAAGCCCCUCAUGAUGGGACCAAUCCUGACCUGUGUGGGACUGGGCUUGGUAUACAGUAGGUGCUCAACGCUGACCUUCCGAAUCAAUGAAUGAACGAAGCUGUGAAACGGAGACUACCACAGUCUGAACUCCUGGAGCUGUGGGGAGCAGCUGAGGGACUGCCCCUCAGAGGAGCCCCAAAUACUGAGUACACAGCAGGAGCUCAGUAUCACUGGCCCAGAGCUCUGCUAAGCAGGACUGCUCAACCCAUGAGGCCUCCUCCAAGGGCUGGAGCCCAGCCGAAAGGAUGCGGAGAGCGAUCUUCAAGGGAGGGCACGCCCGGUGGCAGCGUCAGCAAACGCUUCAGCAAACGCGAGGAGGUGGCAACUCCAAGAGGAGCAUUUGCGGAGCAGCCAGCCCCGCGGCAGCUAGAGCACCUGGGCCAUGGCCUCAGUUUCCCCACCUGGAAGCACAGGGCAAACGGAGGCUCCCCAAGCGGCGGGGCCGGGACCACUGCCCCCUGGCCUUGUCGGCUGCCAGACCUCCCUCACCCAGAGGCCUGUCUCCUUUGCCACAAAA
Molecule: long non-coding RNA, 1321 nt
Organism: Equus quagga
Lineage: Eukaryota; Metazoa; Chordata; Mammalia; Perissodactyla; Equidae
Exons: 2
Source: RefSeq, a predicted model, not a curated record